AAUCAACGCUGGCGGCGUGCCUCAGACAUGCAAGUCGAACGAUUAAAGCUCUCUUCGGAGAGUGCAUAGAGUGGCGCACGGGUGAGUAACACGUAAGUAAUCUACCUUCGAGUGGGGGAAUAACGUCCGGAAACGGACGCUAAUACCGCAUAAUGCAGCGGCAUCGUAAGAUGACAGCUGUUAAAGAUUUAUCGCUUGAAGAGGAGCUUGCGGCAGAUUAGCUAGUUGGUAAGGUAAUGGCUUACCAAGGCUACGAUCUGUAACCGGUCUUAGAGGACGGUCGGUCACACUGACACUGAAUAACGGGUCAGACUCCUACGGGAGGCAGCAGUCGGGAAUUUUGGGCAAUGGGCGAAAGCCUGACCCAGCAACGCCGCGUGAAGGAUGAAGUAUUUCGGUAUGUAAACUUCGAAAGAAUAGGAAGAAUAAAU
RNAcentral lists this ribosomal RNA (431 nucleotides) under uncultured bacterium. RNAcentral's name for it is "bacterial SSU rRNA". It matches the Rfam family "Bacterial small subunit ribosomal RNA", at positions 32 to 454 of the family's 1533-position model. The record is from RNAcentral.